GGAAUGAAACCAAACAUGGCAUGAAUGUUCCUUAUGAGGUGCUCACCAAGUGUUGUUACUUUGUAGCCGAUCCAUCAUCCAAGAUGGCCGCCAGCGGGGGACUUAGUUUAACAUAGGACCCUUUGGGAAAUGCAUACAAAUGACUUCUUUUAGAGAACCACUGAAUGGAAUGAAACCAAACAUGGCAUGAAUGUUCCUUAUGAGGUGCUGACCAAGUGUUGUUACUUUGUAGCCGAUCCAUCAUCCAAGAUGGCCGCCAGCGGGGGACUUAGUUUAACAUAGGACCCUAUGGGAAAUGCAUACGAAUGACUUCUUUUAGAGAACCACUGAAUGGAAUAAAACCAAACAUGGCAUGAAUGUUCCUUAUGAGGUGCUGACCAUGUGUUGUUACUUUGUAGCCGAUCCAUCAUCCAAGAUGGCCGCCAUCGGGGAACUUAGUUUAACAUAGGACCCUAUGGGAAAUACAUACAAAUGUCUUCUUUUAGAGAACCACUGAAUGGAAUAAAACCAAACUUGGCAUGAAUGUUCCUUAUGAGGUGCUGACCAAGUGUUGUUACUUUGUAGCCGAUCCAUCAUCCAAGAUGGCCGCCAGCGGGGGACUUAGUUUAACAUAGGACCCUAUGGGAAAUGCAUACAAAUGACUUCUUUUAGAGAACCACUGAAUGGAAUGAAACCAAACAUGGCAUGAAUGUUCCUUAUGAGGUGCUGACCAUGUGUUGGUACUUUGUAGCCGAUCCAUCAUCCAAGAUGGCCGCCAUCGGGGAACUUAGUUUAACAUAAGACCCUAUGGGAAAUACAUACAAAUGUCUUCUUUUAGAGAACCACUGAAUGGAAUGAAACCAAACAUGGCAUGAAUGUUCCUUAUGAGGUGCUGACCAAGUGUUGUUUCUUUGUAGCCGAUCCAUCAUCCAAGAUGGCCGCCAGCGGGGGACUUAGUUUAACAUAGGACCCUAUGGGAAAUACAUAAAAUUGUCUUCUUUUAGAGAACCACUGAAUGGAAUGAAACCAAACAUGGCAUGAAUGUUCCUUAUGAGGUGCUGACCAAGUGUUGUUACUUUGCAGGCGGUCCAUCAUCCAAGAUGGCCGACAGCAGGGGACUUAGUUUAACAAAGGACCUAUGGGAAAUACAUACAAAUGUCUUCUUUUAGAGAACCACUGAAUGGAAUGAAACCAAACAUGGCAUGAAUCUUCCUUAUGAGAUGCUGACCAAGUGUUGUUACUUUGUAGCCGAUCCAUCAUCCAAGAUGGCCGCCAGGGGGGACUUAGUUUUACAUAGGACCCUUUGGGAAAUACAUAAAAAUGUCUUCUUUUAGAGAACCAAUAAAUGGAAUGGAACCAAACAUGGCAUGAAUGUUUCUUAUGAGAUGUUGACCAAGUGUUGUUACUUUGCAGCCGAUCCAUCAUCCAAGAUGGCCGACAGCGGGGGACUUAGUUUAACAUAGGACCCUAUGGGAAAUACAUACAAUUGUCUUCUUUUAGAGAACCACUGAAUGGAAUUGAACCAAACAUGGCAUGAAUGUUCCUUAUGAGUUGCUGACCAAGUGUUGUUACUUUGCAGUCGAUCCAUCAUCCAAGAUGGCCGCUAGGGGGGGGGGGCUUAGUUUAACAUAGGACCCUAUGGGAAAUACAUACAAAUGUCUUCUUUUAGAGUACCACUGAAUGGAAUGAAACCAAACAUGGCAUGAAUGUUCCUUAUGAAGUGCUGACCAAGUGUUGCUACUUUGUUGCCGAUUUACUGUUCAAGAUGGCCACCAGGAUAUUUUAUUAAAUAACGGGACCAAUAUUAAUCAAAAUUUGGCCUCAAUCAUUAUUUGGGUAUCUGUUAUGAUUUUUAUCUAUCUUUACAUGAUUUCUAAAACCAAAGUAGAGUCAGGUGAGCGACACAGGCUCUUGAGAGCCUCU
Molecule: long non-coding RNA, 1902 nt
Organism: Mytilus californianus (California mussel)
Lineage: Eukaryota; Metazoa; Mollusca; Bivalvia; Mytilida; Mytilidae
Exons: 3
Source: RefSeq, a predicted model, not a curated record